UACGUAGGGUCCGAGCGUUGUCCGGAAUUACUGGGCGUAAAGGGCUCGUAGGUGGUUUGUCGCGUUGUUCGUGAAAACUCACAGCUCAACUGUGGGCGUGCGGGCGAUACGGGCAGACUAGAGUACUGCAGGGGAGACUGGAAUUCCUGGUGUAGCGGUGGAAUGCGCAGAUAUCAGGAGGAACACCGGUGGCGAAGGCAGAUCUCUGGGCCGUAACUGACGCUGAGACGCGAAAGCGUGGGGAGCGAACAGG
This 253-nucleotide ribosomal RNA is filed under the name uncultured bacterium. RNAcentral's name for it is "partial 16S ribosomal RNA". It matches the Rfam family "Bacterial small subunit ribosomal RNA", at positions 524 to 776 of the family's 1533-position model. The record is from RNAcentral.